CACGUAGGGUGCGAGCGUUGUCCGGAAUUAUUGGGCGUAAAGAGCUCGUAGGCGGUGUGUCGCGUCAGCCGUGAAAACCUGCAGCUUAACUGUGGGCUUGCGGUCGAUACGGGCAUCACUGGAGUUCGGCAGGGGAGACUGGAAUUCCUGGUGUAGCGGUGAAAUGCGCAGAUAUCAGGAGGAACACCGGUGGCGAAGGCGGGUCUCUGGGCCGAUACUGACGCUGAGGAGCGAAAGCGUGGGGAGCGAACAGG
This 254-nucleotide ribosomal RNA is filed under the name uncultured bacterium. Its description in RNAcentral is "partial 16S ribosomal RNA". It matches the Rfam family "Bacterial small subunit ribosomal RNA", at positions 524 to 776 of the family's 1533-position model. The record is from RNAcentral.